GCUUUUAUUAGAUCAAGACCAAUCGGACUUCGGUCCGUUUCUUGGUGACUCUGAAUAACUUUGUGCCGAUCGCAUGGUCUAGCACCGGCGACGCAUCUUUCAAAUGUCUGCCUUAUCAACUGUCGAUGGUAGGUUAUGCGCCUACCAUGGUUGCAACGGGUAACGGGGAAUCGGGGUUCGAUUCCGGAGAGGGAGCCUGAGAAACGGCUACCACAUCCAAGGAAGGCAGCAGGCGCGCAAAUUACCCACUCCCGGCACGGGGAGGUAGUGACGAAAAAUAACGAUGCAGGACUCAUCCGAGGCCCUGUGAUUGGAAUGAGUACACUUUAAAUCCUUUAACGAGGACCUAUUGGAGGGCAAGUCUGGUGCCAGCAGCCGCGGUAACUCCAGCUCCAAUAGCGUAUAUUAAAGUUGCUGCGGUUAAAAAGCUCGUAGUUGGAUAUCGGUCGCGAUCAGGUGGUGCCGCCUCGCGGUGUGCACUGCCUCGAUUGGACAAUCCACCGGACUGUCCGGGGUGCUCUUAACCGAGUGUCCUGGGUGGCCGGUACGUUUACUUUGAACAAAUUAGAGUGCUUAAAGCAGGUGCUCCGCGCCUGAAUAUCACAGCAUGGAAUGAUGGAAUAGGACCUCGGUCUUAUUUUGUUGGUUUUCUGGACUUGAGGUAAUGGUUAAUAGAGACAGACGGGGGCAUUCGUACUGCGACGCUAGAGGUGAAAUUCUUGGACCGUCGCAAGACGAACAACUGCGAAAGCAUUUGCCAAGAAUGUUUUCAUUAAUCAAGAACGAAAGUUAGAGGUUCGAAGGCGAUCAGAUACCGCCCUAGUUCUAACCAUAAACGAUGCCAACCAGCGAUCCGCAGACGUUACUUCAAUGACUCUGCGGGCAGCUUCCGGGAAACCAAAGUUUUUGGGUUCCGGGGGAAGUAUGGUUGCAAAGCUGAAACUUAAAGGAAUUGACGGAAGGGCACCACCAGGAGUGGAGCCUGCGGCUUAAUUUGACUCAACACGGGAAACCUCACCAGGCCCGGACACUGGAAGGAUUGACAGAUUGAGAGCUCUUUCUUGAUUCGGUGGGUGGUGGUGCAUGGCCGUUCUUAGUUGGUGGAGCGAUUUGUCUGGUUAAUUCCGAUAACGAACGAGACUCUAGCCUGCUAAAUAGAUGACGUAUCUUCGGGUACGUUACUCUUCUUAGAGGGACAAGUGGCGUCUAGCCAUAUGAAAGUGAGCAAUAACAGGUCUGUGAUGCCCUUAGAUGUCCUGGGCCGCACGCGCGCUACACUGAAAGAAUCAGCGCGU
RNAcentral lists this ribosomal RNA (1295 nucleotides) under Branchinecta orientalis. RNAcentral describes it as "SSU rRNA". It matches the Rfam family "Eukaryotic small subunit ribosomal RNA", at positions 203 to 1520 of the family's 1831-position model. Lineage: Eukaryota; Metazoa; Arthropoda; Branchiopoda; Anostraca; Branchinectidae. The record is from RNAcentral.